Molecule: ribosomal RNA, 443 nt
Filed under: uncultured bacterium
Lineage: Bacteria
Description: partial 16S ribosomal RNA
Rfam family: Bacterial small subunit ribosomal RNA
Source: RNAcentral
CCUACGGGCGGCAGCAGUGGGGAAUAUUGGGCAAUGGGCGCAAGCCUGACCCAGCCACGCCGCGUGAAGGAAGACGGCUCUCGGGUUGUAAACUUCUUUUUUCAGGGACGAAGCCAGUGACGGUACCUGAGGAAUAAGCCUCGGCUAACUACGUGCAAGCAGCCGCGGUAAUCCGUAGGUGGCAGGCGUUAUCCGGAUUUACUGGGUGUAAAGGGCGUGUAGGCGGGAAAGCAAGUCAGGUGUGAAAACCAUGGGCUCAACCUGUGGCCUGCAUUUGAAACUGUGUUUCUUGAGUACUGGAGAGGCAGGCGGAAUUCGUGGUGUAGCGGUGAAAUGCGUAGAUAUCAGGAAGAACACCAGUGGCGAAGGCGGUCUGCUGGAGAGCAACUGACGCUGAUGCGCGAAAGCGUGGGUAGCGAACAGGAUUAGAUACCCCUGUAGUC